RNAcentral lists this ribosomal RNA (253 nucleotides) under uncultured bacterium. RNAcentral describes it as "partial 16S ribosomal RNA". It matches the Rfam family "Bacterial small subunit ribosomal RNA", at positions 524 to 776 of the family's 1533-position model. The record is from RNAcentral.
UACGUAGGGUGCAAGCGUUGUCCGGAAUCAUUGGGCGUAAAGAGCGUGUAGGCGGUCCGGUAAGUCAGCUGUGAAAGUCAAGGGCUCAACCCUUGAAUGCCGGUUGAUACUGUCGGGCUAGAGUCCGGAAGAGGCGAGUGGAAUUCCCGGUGUAGCGGUGAAAUGCGCAGAUAUCGGGAGGAACACCAAUGGCGAAGGCAGCUCGCUGGGACGGUACUGACGCUGAGACGCGAAAGCGUGGGGAGCAAACAGG